RNAcentral lists this unclassified non-coding RNA (322 nucleotides) under Hevea brasiliensis (rubber tree). The record is from RNAcentral. Lineage: Eukaryota; Viridiplantae; Streptophyta; Magnoliopsida; Malpighiales; Euphorbiaceae.
GGUCCACCGGAGGCGGGGCUUCGGAUCCGUAGUGAGAACCAAGCACGCAUCCCCAGGUAAGUUGGUCCCGUCAAGCGAGCCCUGGAACUCCCCAUGUCCUACACUCCCAUCCAGCGGCAGCGAGUGUAUAGCCGAGUACAUUUUCCCUUGACACAAAGAACCCUCCGAAGAAGAAAGGGCGAACGGGAAAUGCAGCAGAAGAUCCGAAUCGGGUUCCAGAGCCGGGGCUCACGGAGCCCCGAGUGACAACAGAGGAGGGGAGGGAGAUAUCAAUAAAUGGGCAAUUGGGUGCGAGAGAGAGAAAGAGAAAAAGAGAGAGAAC